UACGUAGGGGGCUAGCGUUGUCCGGAAUCAUUGGGCGUAAAGAGCGUGUAGGCGGCUCGAUAAGUCCGCUGUGAAAGUCCAGGGCUCAACCCUGGGAUGCCGGUGGAUACUGUCGGGCUCGAGUCCGGAAGAGGCGAGUGGAAUUCCUGGUGUAGCGGUGAAAUGCGCAGAUAUCAGGAGGAACACCAAUGGCGAAGGCAGCUCGCUGGAACGGUACUGACGCUGAGGCGCGAAAGCGUGGGGAGCGAACAGG
Molecule: ribosomal RNA, 253 nt
Filed under: uncultured bacterium
Lineage: Bacteria
Description: partial 16S ribosomal RNA
Rfam family: Bacterial small subunit ribosomal RNA
Source: RNAcentral